GUCGAGAAUCUUUCACAAUGGGGGCAACCCUGAUGGAGCGACGCCGCGUGGAGGAUAAGGUCUUCGGAUUGUAAACUCCUGUCAUGCGUGAACAAGGUUGCUUGGAUAAUACCUGAGCAAAUUGAUGGUAGCGCAAGAGGAAGAGACGGCUAACUCUGUGCCAGCAGCCGCGGUAAUACAGAGGUCUCAAGCGUUGUUCGGAAUCACUGGGCGUAAAGGGUGCGUAGGUGGCGUGGCAAGUCAGAUGUGAAAGCCCGGGGCUCAACCUCGGAACUGCAUCCGAUACUGCCAUGCUAGAGUACUGGAGAGGUGACUAGAAUUCUCGGUGUAGCAGUGAAAUGCGUAGAUAUCGAGAGGAAUACCAAAGGCGUAGGCAGGUCACUGGACAGUUACUGACACUGAGGCACGAAGGCCAGGGGAGCGAACGGGAUUAGAAACCCGAGUAGUCC
RNAcentral lists this ribosomal RNA (449 nucleotides) under uncultured bacterium. RNAcentral's name for it is "partial 16S ribosomal RNA". It matches the Rfam family "Bacterial small subunit ribosomal RNA", at positions 354 to 796 of the family's 1533-position model. The record is from RNAcentral.